RNAcentral lists this long non-coding RNA (223 nucleotides) under Homo sapiens (human). Its description in RNAcentral is "non-protein coding lnc-GIMAP5-2:1". Lineage: Eukaryota; Metazoa; Chordata; Mammalia; Primates; Hominidae. The record is from RNAcentral.
CAGGAUGGAUCCAAGAGAUGUACAUUUUUAAAGAACAUUCAAGUAAUUCUGAGAAGCAGCACAUUUGAGCGGUGAAGAACUCAAUAAACUUUGCGGUCUCUUAAAGUGUUAGGAAUACAGGAUUCUAUAAGUGUACAUUCCUCAAUGAUUAAGGGCCAUUUGUCACCUCAGAGUUCAGCUGGGUCUUACUUUCCUUUAAAAAAAAAAACUAUUUAAAAUCAUU